AGAGUUUGAUCAUGGCUCAGGACGAACGCUGGCGGCGUGCUUAACACAUGCAAGUGGAGCGACGAACCAGGCUUCGGCCUGGGGCAAAGCCGCGAACGGGUGAGUAACACGUGGGUAACCUGCCCCGAUGAUUGGGACAACCCGAGGAAACUCGGGCUAAUACCGAAUGUGCCCUCUGGCCUCAAGGCCGCUGGGGAAAGGAAGCUUCGGCCUCCGCAUCGGGAUGGGCCCGCGGCCCAUUAGCUUGUUGGUGAGGUAACGGCUCACCAAGGCUGCGAUGGGUAGCUGGUCUGAGAGGACGAACAGCCACACUGGGAUUGAGAACGGCCCAGACUCCUACGGGGGGCAGCAGUGAGGAAUUUUCGGCAAUGGGCGCAAGCCUGACCGAGCAACACCGCGUGCAGGAGGACGCUUUUCGGAGUGUAAACUGCUUUUCCCAGGGACGAGGAUGGACGGUACCUGGGGAAGAAGCCCCGGCUAACUACGUGCCAGCCGCCGCGGUAAUAC
RNAcentral lists this ribosomal RNA (507 nucleotides) under uncultured bacterium. RNAcentral's name for it is "bacterial SSU rRNA". It matches the Rfam family "Bacterial small subunit ribosomal RNA", at positions 8 to 526 of the family's 1533-position model. The record is from RNAcentral.